CUACUCGCCUCUUGUAGGAGUACAUCCUCUACCAAUGAUUGAAGGCACAAUUCUUGCAUUAUCAAUAUUCUCUUAUUCCUCAAUCCACACCCUCUAUGGCUCUACCAAACAAGUUUAUAAAAUGUAAUUGUACCAAACUACUUAUAUAAACCCAUAUUAAAUUAUAAUCAGCCAAAACCAAACCAUAAUAUUUUAAUUUUAAUUUUCAAAAAAAUAUAGUAUUUGUGUGUUUGGUUUGUAAAUUAAGCCCGUAUUCUUCGCUAACUAAGUGUCAAGAAAUAAAAACCAAAACCAUUAUUUUGAACAACUCAAAAAGCACUCCUCCCUUUUUCUUCUCUGGUGCUGACAGUCUAGCAUACCAUACCCCCUUCUUCUACGUAAUUAUACCACUAAUCACUUAAUUAGUACUACUAAUUACAUUAUUUAUUUCCUUAUUUAUCAUCAACCAUUCUCUAUUUCCUUUUUUCUAGCUUAAAAAUUUCCAUUUUCAUCUUACUUUUACCAACAAAACUCUCAAACUCUAACCAUUACUUCUCCACUUCCCAAAGUUCUCAUCUUUUUUCUUUUUCUCUGAUUCAUAACCCAUUAAAAAUCCAAUCUUUUUCAUCCUUUUUUCACAAAAAUCAGAGGUUUUCUGGGCAGAAGAAUAAAGAUUGCAACUUUCUUAAUCUUUUUUGCAGAUUAAUUAAGGAGUUAAUUAAUCAUAAUCCCAGAAUGUAAUUAAGAUCAGAAGCAAUGUGGGCAGAUUCUAAUAUAAACUGGAGAUCAUGCAACCAAAUUCGUCGAUAUCCGAGCUUUCGUGUGGGAGCUCCACCAAAAAUGCAGGGUAGCAACCAAUUGGUGCAAGGUUAAGCACCCAAAAUGUUCUUCCUCCUAUACCAUAUACUUCCUGUUAUUUUUAUUUCAUCAACUUCUGAAUUGUUAGUAAAUGAACUUCAGAAUUGUUAAAAGGAAAAAAAAUGUGUAAAAGGGUAGACCUUGAUGGCAGAAGCAAUCUGGGAAAUCACUUGAGGUAAGUACUGCUUCACUCCACUGAUACCAAUGUAUGCUAAAUUUCCAGUAAAGUCAUUUUGGCCAAUGUAGAA
This is a long non-coding RNA of Spinacia oleracea (spinach), 1085 nucleotides long. RefSeq lists it as uncharacterized. Lineage: Eukaryota; Viridiplantae; Streptophyta; Magnoliopsida; Caryophyllales; Amaranthaceae. The transcript is spliced from 2 exons. The record is from RefSeq and is a predicted model, not a curated record.